This 505-nucleotide ribosomal RNA is filed under the name uncultured bacterium. RNAcentral's name for it is "bacterial SSU rRNA". It matches the Rfam family "Bacterial small subunit ribosomal RNA", at positions 29 to 524 of the family's 1533-position model. The record is from RNAcentral.
AGUGAACGCUGGCGGCAGGCCUAAUACAUGCAAGUCGAACGGCAGCACAGCAGAGCUUGCUCUGUGGGUGGCGAGUGGCGGACGGGUGAGGAAUACGUGGGAAUCUGCCCAGUCGUGGGGGAUAACGUAGGGAAACUUACGCUAAUACCGCAUGCGCCCUUCGGGGGAAAGCCGGGGACCUUCGGGCCUGGCGCGAUUGGAUGAGCCCACGUCGGAUUAGCUAGUUGGCGGGUAAAGGCCCACCAAGGCGACGAUCCGUAGCUGGUCUGAGAGGAUGAUCAGCCACACUGGAACUGAGACACGGUCCAGACUCCUACGGGAGGCAGCAGUAGGGAAUAUUGGACAAUGGGCGCAAGCCUGAUCCAGCCAUGCCGCGUGAGUGAAGAAGGCCCUCGAGUUGUAAAGCUCUUUUGUCCGGAAAGAAAAGCGCCGGGUUAAUACCCUGGUGUCCUGACGGUACCGGAGAAUAAGCACCGGCUAACUUCGUGCCAGCAGCCGCGGUAAU